CUCUUGUGAAAGGACAAUAGCAAAGUAUAAAUGUCUGUUUCCCCUUUAGGACCAUGAACUCCUUGAGGCUUUUGAACUCCUUGUUAUCUCUGUAUCCUCUACUCCUGAUACACAGCAGGAAUUCAGUCCACACCUGUGGAAUGACCAAAUGAAAUGGCAGGCUUCCGGGGCGGACAUCAGUGCCUCUCCAGAGCGUCGCUAUUCACCCCUGCCUUCUGCUUCCAGGGAGCUCACCAGCCACCGAGAAACACUGUUCCUUCCUGGCACUGCCUGAUCCUGCUCAGAGAGAGGGCUCAGCUGGAAGAUACAGCCUAAGCCAC
Molecule: long non-coding RNA, 320 nt
Filed under: Dasypus novemcinctus (nine-banded armadillo)
Lineage: Eukaryota; Metazoa; Chordata; Mammalia; Cingulata; Dasypodidae
Description: lncRNA (ENSDNOG00000050135.1)
Source: RNAcentral